RNAcentral lists this ribosomal RNA (436 nucleotides) under uncultured bacterium. RNAcentral's name for it is "partial 16S ribosomal RNA". It matches the Rfam family "Bacterial small subunit ribosomal RNA", at positions 29 to 507 of the family's 1533-position model. The record is from RNAcentral.
AACGAACGCUGGCGGCAUGCCUAACACAUGCAAGCCGAACGAUGGUCUUCGGAUCAUAGUGGCGCACGGGUGCGUAACGCGUGGGAAUCUGCCCUUGGGUUCGGAAUAACAGUUGGAAACGACUGCUAAUACCGGAUGAUGUCGAUAAGACCAAAGAUUUAUCGCCCGAGGAUGAGCCCGCGUCGGAUUAGCUAGUUGGUGGGGUAAAGGCCUACCAAGGCGACGAUCCGUAGCUGGUCUGAGAGGAUGAUCAGCCACACUGGGACUGAGACACGGCCCAGACUCCUACGGGAGGCAGCAGUGGGGAAUAUUGGACAAUGGGCGCAAGCCUGAUCCAGCAAUGCCGCGUGAGUGAUGAAGGCCUUAGGGUUGUAAAGCUCUUUUACCCGGGAAGAUAAUGACUGUACCGGGAGAAUAAGCCCCGGCUAACUCCGUG